Molecule: transfer RNA, 72 nt
Filed under: Camelus ferus (Wild Bactrian camel)
Lineage: Eukaryota; Metazoa; Chordata; Mammalia; Artiodactyla; Camelidae
Rfam family: tRNA
About the family: Transfer RNA (tRNA) molecules are approximately 80 nucleotides in length. Their secondary structure includes four short double-helical elements and three loops (D, anti-codon, and T loops).
Source: Rfam by way of RNAcentral
GUGAGUAUAACUCAGUGGUAGAGUGCGUGCUUAGCAUGCACGAGGUCCUGGGUUCAAUCUCCAGCACUUCCA